UACAGAGGUGCCAAGCGUUGUUCGGAUUUAUUGGGCGUAAAGGGUGCGUAGGCGGCCAUACAAGUCGGGUGUGAAAUCCCGGAGCUUAACUCCGGAAUGGCAUUCGAAACUGUAUGGCUCGAGAUCUGGAGAGGUGAUUGGAAUUCUCGGUGUAGAGUGAAAUGCGUAGAUAUCGAGAGGAACACCAGAGGCGAAAGCGAAUCACUGGACAGUAUCUGACGCUGAGGCACGAAAGCUAGGGGAGCAAACGGG
RNAcentral lists this ribosomal RNA (252 nucleotides) under uncultured bacterium. Its description in RNAcentral is "partial 16S ribosomal RNA". It matches the Rfam family "Bacterial small subunit ribosomal RNA", at positions 524 to 776 of the family's 1533-position model. The record is from RNAcentral.